RNAcentral lists this ribosomal RNA (220 nucleotides) under uncultured bacterium. RNAcentral's name for it is "partial 16S ribosomal RNA". It matches the Rfam family "Bacterial small subunit ribosomal RNA", at positions 96 to 334 of the family's 1533-position model. The record is from RNAcentral.
CGGCGGACGGCUGAGUAACGCGUAGGAACCUACCCCAAACUGAGGGAUAAGCACCAGAAAUGGUGUCUAAUACCGCAUGUGCUCUACGGAGUAAAGCUUCGGCGGUUUGGGAAGGGCCUGCGUAUGAUUAGCUUGUUGGUGAGGUAAAAGCUCGCCAAGGCGACGAUCAUUAGCUGGUCUGAGAGGAUGAUCAGCCAGACUGGGACUGAGAACGGCCCAG